RNAcentral lists this ribosomal RNA (329 nucleotides) under uncultured Anaerostipes sp. RNAcentral describes it as "partial 16S ribosomal RNA". Lineage: Bacteria; Bacillati; Bacillota; Clostridia; Lachnospirales; Lachnospiraceae. The record is from RNAcentral.
GGAGUUUGGGCCGUGUCUCAGUCCCAAUGUGGCCGAUCACCCUCUCAGGUCGGCUACUGAUCGUCGCCUUGGUGGGCCGUUACCUCACCAACUAGCUAAUCAGACGCGGGUCCAUCUUAUGCCGAUAAAUCUUUUACCUCAGAACCAUGCGGUCCCGUGGUCUUAUGCGGUAUUAGCAGUCAUUUCUAACUGUUAUCCCCCAGCCUAAGGCAGGUUACCCACGCGUUACUCACCCGUCCGCCACUAAGUCAGUUCGUUUCGCUGCCGAAGCUUUGAAACGAAAUGCUUCGUUCGACUUGCAUGUGUUAAGCACGCCGCCAGCGUUCAUC